Molecule: unclassified non-coding RNA, 203 nt
Filed under: uncultured fungus
Lineage: Eukaryota; Fungi
Description: sequence contains ITS1
Source: RNAcentral
GUUUAUUUGUACAUUAUAGCACAUAGACAUUCCAUUACAUACAGAGUGUGUAAAAGUACUCUUUCGAUCAUUACAACCUCAGAGUCAUAGAUGCACAGGUGUGGGGAUUUGCGGCCAAACGUGCACAUGUGUUUCCACCAGCAACAGAAUGGCCGACUUUGGAAAUUUCAUUAAUGAUCCUUCCGCAGGUUCACCUACGGAAA